UUACUACUCCCUCCGUUCGAAAUUACUUGUCACAGAAAUGGAUGUAUCUAGACAUAUUUUAGUUCUAGAUAUAUCCAUUUCUGAGAGAAUUAAUUCCAAACGGAGGGAGUAGUAA
Triticum aestivum (bread wheat) is the source of this 115-nucleotide non-coding RNA. The record is from Rfam. Lineage: Eukaryota; Viridiplantae; Streptophyta; Magnoliopsida; Poales; Poaceae.